Hippopotamus amphibius kiboko is the source of this 141-nucleotide small nucleolar RNA. RefSeq annotates it as small nucleolar RNA SNORA70. NCBI's taxonomy places the organism in Eukaryota, Metazoa, Chordata, Mammalia, Artiodactyla, Hippopotamidae. The record is from RefSeq and is a predicted model, not a curated record. The transcript has a single exon.
AGAAAGGAAAAAAAAAAGGCUCACAAAGAGCUAGAAACCCUGUAGGAUCCGGGCAUGUCAAGAACCACAGCUACAGCCUCCUCGGUAGUGUGUGCAGCCUGUUGCCUGUACAGGUUACCCUAAGGGACCCUGGAGACAGCC